Ylistrum balloti is the source of this 443-nucleotide long non-coding RNA. RefSeq lists it as uncharacterized. NCBI's taxonomy places the organism in Eukaryota, Metazoa, Mollusca, Bivalvia, Pectinida, Pectinidae. The record is from RefSeq and is a predicted model, not a curated record. The transcript has 2 exons.
CCUUUGAUGGGGCCUCAUUUUGACCUAUAACCUUUCAAGUAGAAUCAGAUUGCUGCACUCUGUCACUGAGGUCAGAGUUCAAAAUGGUUCCUCUUGGUCCCAAGUGAUGCAAUCAUCCUUUUUCCGGGCAUCGCCUGUUUUACGCCCAGUAGCAUGCUUGAAUGAAGGGCUACCAAGUUUGUUCAAAUGAAUGACCUCGAUGAACUUUCAUGAUCACAGGGGUCAAAUGUGUUUAAAUCUUUCAAAAAUUUCUCAUUGACCUAGGGUUAUGAAAUUGGGUCAGCAGCAUGCUGGGAUAAAGGGCUGUCAUCUUUGUUCAAAUGAAUGACAUUGACCUUCAUUCACAGGGGUCAAAUAUGCUACAACAACAGACAGUUAUAAAUUCCAAUUAAUUGAAAUUAAUGCUUCAAACUUAGAAACAAUAAAAACUUUGUAAGUAUGCA